This 405-nucleotide ribosomal RNA is filed under the name uncultured bacterium. RNAcentral describes it as "bacterial SSU rRNA". It matches the Rfam family "Bacterial small subunit ribosomal RNA", at positions 28 to 433 of the family's 1533-position model. The record is from RNAcentral.
GAUGAACGCUAGCGGCAGGCUUAACACAUGCAAGUCGAGGGGUAUUGGUUUUCGGACCAAGAGACCGGCGCACGGGUGCGUAACGCGUAUGCAAUCUACCUUUUGCAGAGGGAUAGCCCCAGAGAAAUUUGGAUUAAUACCUCAUAGUAUAGUACUUUGGCAUCAAGGAACUAUUAAAGUCACAACGGCAAAAGAUGAGCAUGCGUCCCAUUAGCUAGUUGGUAAGGUAACGGCUUACCAAGGCUACGAUGGGUAGGGGUCCUGAGAGGGAGAUCCCCCACACUGGUACUGAGACACGGACCAGACUCCUAACGGGAGGCAGCAGUGAGGAAUAUUGGACAAUGGGCGCAAGCCUGAUCCAGCCAUGCCGCGUGCAGGAUGACGGUCCUAUGGAUUGUAAACUGC